This 238-nucleotide ribosomal RNA is filed under the name uncultured bacterium. Its description in RNAcentral is "partial 16S ribosomal RNA". It matches the Rfam family "Bacterial small subunit ribosomal RNA", at positions 976 to 1218 of the family's 1533-position model. The record is from RNAcentral.
AAGGUUUGACAUGGAGGGCAAAGUUGAGGAAACUCAACAGAGGUUANCCCCGACACAGGUGGGUGCAUGGUCGUCGUCAGGUUCGUGCUGUGAAGCAUAUGCUUAAGUGCUAUAACGAACGCAACCCUCGUAUUUAGUUGCUAUCAUUUAGUUGAGAACUCUAAAUAGACUGCUAAGGAAACUUAGAGGAAGGAGAGGAUGACGUCUGAUCAUCAUGCCCCUUAUACCUUGGGCUACA